UAUCUAUUGAAAACUACAUUCAUGAUUAUAUUUUAUAAACAGAGCUAACUUUUCGGAGCUUUCAUGGAAUGUUUAAAAACUUAAAAAAUAUUUUUUUUUCUGUUUUUUACUGAAAAAUGGACUUAUCGGUAGUUUUUGUCAAUCAAUAUUACACUAUCACACUAACAGUAGCAAUUAUAAGGUGACACACAAUGUUUCACAGACUCUUCACUAAUUUUUUUUUCAUACCAUUUAUCACACCUUUCUUAAUGUAUAAUAUAACACAAUUGGCUUGCUAUAACAUAUAUUUUAAGCUUAAGUGAUAUUGUUUAAGUUCUGCAUAAUUAUGUGUCAAUUUCUCAGAAACUUCAUGUGAUAAACUAUUAAUGACAUUUUACUACUAUAUUCUUAAUAUAGAUUAAUAGUAUUGGUGUUUUAUGUUGUCUGUGUAAUAACUUGAGAACCAUUGGUUAAACUGAAGUAUAAGGUUAGUUAAGUUCCGUCAGUACAGAGAGACGUUUUCAUUUUAGUAAAUCAUUUUUUAUAUUCAUUGUUGAGACAAGCUAUUAAAUUUAAGUAAAAUUCUAACCAAGUUGGCUAGUUAGAAUUUGAAUUAGUCAGCAAGUUGUUAUGGUGCCAUUUGAAAUACUUUUGAAAUACAGAAUAGCUAUCUAGUAAAGCACUAUUGCCUAUAUGUUGUCAUACUAUAGUCCAAAUUAUGUACAUGCAGGCAUGCCAAUCAUUAUACUGAAAUACAAUCAAUGAACCAUACUACUAGCUAUCUACAUAUCAACUUACCAACUUGUCAACCAAAACCAUACAGGCAUUAUUUCAAUAUUGCUGUCAAUUCAACAAUUUAUGGAACUAAUUGGUACAAUUAUGUUGAGCUGUACUUAUUAACCAAUAAACAUACUGCUUGUAGGGACAAAAAUCAGCUUAAUUUUGAUAUUGGCAAUUUCCAUUUAUGCUGUUAUGACCUUAAUUGAUUGAAAAAUAACACUUAUAUACAAAAUAUGAACAAAACCUGAGUUGCUGUUCCUUUUGACAGCCUCUUGUCUACACUUAGGUUAAAAAAAAUUCCAGGGUUUCCUUUUACCAGCUUAAUAUACCGGUAUGUCUCUGUAAAGGUGACCAAUAUGCAUGACUCAGUGAAGAACAUUUAGAUUGUUUUAUGAUGCAUUUGCAUAAACUCAAAAUAUUUUCUUACUGUGUAUGUUAUGAUUUUGUUUUUUAUUGGAGUACAAAUUUUAAAUAAUUCAUCAACACUUGUAUGUUGAAGCAAUAAUUUAUGUGCAAUGGUGUCUGUAACUCUUGAAUAUUUUUUAUGAAUAAGCUUGCUGGAGACCAAAGCACUGAUUGACCCAUCUUCAUUGAUUGAAAGCAAGGGUUUUCUUUUUUGAUAGACUGUUUGAUUCUAAAUUUCUUUUAAAAAAAGAUAUUUGUUACAGAAG
RNAcentral lists this long non-coding RNA (1430 nucleotides) under Mytilus galloprovincialis (Mediterranean mussel). Lineage: Eukaryota; Metazoa; Mollusca; Bivalvia; Mytilida; Mytilidae. The record is from RNAcentral.